UGAAAAGCUGAUGAUUUCUGUUAUUAUUCUUUAAAAGAAAAUGGCAACCAGGCAACCAUUUUAUCAGUUCAAUGGAAAACAAAGAUUUCUGAAGAGUAUCCUUUAACAAAUAGAACUAUUUCAAAUUUCAGGUAUGCCUAUAUGGCCUCUGAUGGCUCACCAUUUCUAUUCCAUGGAUGAUUCAAAACAUCCUACAAUAUGUUUGUAUUCUCAAAUGGGCAGCAUUCAUUACCUCAGUGUUAAUUUAUUUUCCUGUAGCAAAUUGCUUCUGGGGAAGUGCUCUCCAUCCAAUGUCCCGGCGGUAGAACCCUCCCGGCCAGUUGAUUUCCUCAACUGCCUGAUAGGCUCUAUCCCUUGCCUCUUGAAGAUGUCUUCCCUUGGCAGUAACCCCAAGCACCCGGCCCCCAGUAGCAAUGAAGUUGCCAUCUGCAUCCAAAGCAGUUCCAGCAUGAAAUAUCUGAACUGUUGGAGCAACAUUUUGAGCUUCUUCAAGGUUUCCAAUCACAGUCCCUUUCUCAUAGGAUCCAGGGUAGCCUUUACUUGCCAUUACCACCACCAUGGCGGACCCUGGGGACCAGUUCAGUGAAACUCCACUUAAUUCUCCUCUACAUGCGGCAAGCAGAACUUGUGCAAGAUCAGAUUCCAACCUAACCAUUAGAACCUGUAUAUUAAGAUGAACCAAAAGAAACCCCACAUAAAAUUUAGGUCACAACUACUUAAAUAUUAUAUUUUUUGCAGUAUUUAAGAAACAAUCACAACAACUAAAAUGUAAUUCUGUAAUUCUCAUCCAGUUUAUUGUAACAUGCAUAUAGUCUAAACCCCAAGUACAUCGAAGGCAAUAAUGUCAAUUGACAGUAUGAUCAUAAUUUGAAGAGGACACAGAAACCACAUCUCUAGUUAAAAUUUUAAUCAAGUAUUUUACACAACCUGAAUAGCAGCAACAUUCUAGCUUUGAACUCUCCUACAUAAAAUGUGGCUAACAAAACCAUGCAGCAGUGACACAAAAUUAGAUACAUGAGAUGUCAGAAGCAUGGCAGUGGACAGAAAAGUGGCACUUGAGAUCAUGCAAUAAAUAUUGUGGCCAUAAAACAUACAACUCGUACUAUUCAUAUGAAUAAGAAAGAACAAGAAUAUGAAAACAGAAAGUCAAAUUACAGAAUACUUACGAAGAUGAGGACAAGCCUCAUGGCUUUCCUCUUCAUUGUUUAUUCUCUUUUACAUAAAGAUGCAGGAUCACUACUUCAAACAGAUUUAAUCUCACUGACUAAUUUAAAUUUAGAUUUAGAUAAUCCAAGAUUUCUUCGCUAAUUGACCAAUAAUAUUAGUAAGGACCUAGAUAACUGUCUAUGUAUGAUAUGAAUUGCAAAAAAUACUAAUUUAUGCUAUAUGAGAGGUCCCAAAUUCCGUUCCUCAUUAAACUGUGUACCUAGAUACAGCACUCAUUGAAGGCCAUAGGUGACCUGAGUCUGCCAAAUACGGAUAUACCCCCAUGAGCUUUCGCAAUGCCAUUAAUUAAUUCCAUAAUAAGUAAAUUUUACCCACUCCAGCUCCCUCAAGAGAGAGAUUAUGUAAUGCAUAUUGUGGGUUUGUAACUAACCUGGCAUUCUGGAUCUCCAAACCGCACAUUAUACUCAAUUAG
Molecule: unclassified non-coding RNA, 1639 nt
Filed under: Hevea brasiliensis (rubber tree)
Lineage: Eukaryota; Viridiplantae; Streptophyta; Magnoliopsida; Malpighiales; Euphorbiaceae
Source: RNAcentral